AGACGAACCGUCCAAACGUUAUUCGGAAUUACUGGGCUUAAAGGGUGCGUAGGCGGCUCGAUAAGUUGGGUGUGAAAUCCCACGGCUCAACCGUGGAACUGCGCUCAAUACUGUCGGACUUGAGGGAGAUAGAGGUGAGCGGAACUAAUGGUGGAGCGGUGAAAUGCGUUGAUAUCAUUAGGAACACCUGUAGCGAAAGCGGCUCGCUGGGUCUCUUCUGACGCUGAGGCACGAAAGCUAGGGUAGCGAACGGGAUUAGAAACCCCGGUAGUCC
This 274-nucleotide ribosomal RNA is filed under the name uncultured bacterium. RNAcentral's name for it is "partial 16S ribosomal RNA". It matches the Rfam family "Bacterial small subunit ribosomal RNA", at positions 523 to 796 of the family's 1533-position model. The record is from RNAcentral.